UAAUACGGAGGGUGCAAGCGUUAUCCGGAAUCACUGGGUUUAAAGGGUGCGUAGGCGGUUGUAUAAGUCAGGGGUGAAAGCACGCAGCUUAACUGUGUAAUUGCCUUUGAUACUGUACGGCUUGAAUAGGGUUGAGGUUGGCGGAAUGUGACAUGUAGCGGUGAAAUGCAUAGAUAUGUCAUAGAACACCGAUUGCGAAGGCAGCUGACUGGGCCUAUAUUGACGCUGAGGCACGAAAGCGUGGGGAGCGAACAGG
This 256-nucleotide ribosomal RNA is filed under the name uncultured bacterium. Its description in RNAcentral is "partial 16S ribosomal RNA". It matches the Rfam family "Bacterial small subunit ribosomal RNA", at positions 521 to 776 of the family's 1533-position model. The record is from RNAcentral.